AUGUCAGCCCAAGGCCAGCGUCUAGCAAAUAAGUAUUGCUAUGAAUACUGUUUCCUUGAAAGUUACUUUGCCAAACCAAUCCUUUCAAAGAAAACGAAACUCCUGGGCCCAGCAGUGCAGAACAGACAGGUACCAGCUCUGCAGCAGCAGCUUCCAGCCAUGCCCUCCGGUCAGCCCCCGGGCGUCCUCCUCGCAGCACACACCAACACAACUCCCACCGAGUGCCCAAGGUGCUUUUCUCCAGUAAAGGCUGACAGAGAUGCCAGGAGGCUCACUCUCACAGGUUAAGAACUGCUUCACAGAACAAAUACGGAGGGAAAACUUUGUGAGAUUUCACAAGUGGUACUUCUGAGCCCGACCGUGCAGCUGCGCGCCUCGCUGAGAAGUGACCCGAGCACGUGAGCAGCCGGAGCACGGCGCAGCCGUUGCACUCCGCAGGUGCCCCGCGCUGAGGAAACCGUGAGAGAUUUGCACCCAAUCACGGCAGCUGCUGCCUCCUUCCAAACUUAAAUGAGCUUGCCCUCACCCCACCAUCACGAUGAGCCAUUAGUUGAUUCGGACGCCCGGCUAGCAGUACAGGCUUUCU
RNAcentral lists this long non-coding RNA (586 nucleotides) under Meleagris gallopavo (turkey). RNAcentral describes it as "lncRNA (ENSMGAG00000022200.1)". The record is from RNAcentral. Lineage: Eukaryota; Metazoa; Chordata; Aves; Galliformes; Phasianidae.